This 2898-nucleotide ribosomal RNA is filed under the name Xanthomonas euvesicatoria pv. citrumelo F1. RNAcentral's name for it is "bacterial LSU rRNA". It matches the Rfam family "Bacterial large subunit ribosomal RNA". Lineage: Bacteria; Pseudomonadati; Pseudomonadota; Gammaproteobacteria; Lysobacterales; Lysobacteraceae. The record is from RNAcentral.
AGGCAACUUGGGGUUAUAUGGUCAAGCGAAUAAGCGCACACGGUGGAUGCCUAGGCGGUCAGAGGCGAUGAAGGACGUGGUAGCCUGCGAAAAGUGUCGGGGAGCUGGCAACAAGCUUUGAUCCGGCAAUAUCCGAAUGGGGAAACCCACUGCUUCGGCAGUAUCCUGCAGUGAAUUCAUAGCUGCUGGAAGCGAACCCGGUGAACUGAAAUAUCUAAGUAACCGGAGGAAAAGAAAUCAACCGAGAUUCCCUAAGUAGUGACGAGCGAACGGGGAGCAGCCCUUAAGCUGGAAUGGCUUUAGAAAAACAAUCUGGAAAGAUUGGCCAUAGAAGGUGAUAGCCCUGUAUUUAAAAGGGCCACUCCAGUGAAGACGAGUAGGGCGGGGCACGUGAAACCCUGUCUGAAUAUGGGGGGACCAUCCUCCAAGGCUAAAUACUCCUGACCGACCGAUAGUGAACCAGUACCGUGAGGGAAAGGCGAAAAGAACCCCGGAGAGGGGAGUGAAAUAGAUCCUGAAACCGUGUGCGUACAAGCAGUAGGAGCUCGCAAGAGUGACUGCGUACCUUUUGUAUAAUGGGUCAGCGACUUACUGUUCGUGGCAAGCUUAACCGUAUAGGGGAGGCGAAGGGAAACCGAGUCUGAUAAGGGCGCAUAGUCGCGGGCAGUAGACCCGAAACCGGGUGAUCUAGUCAUGGCCAGGGUGAAGGUGCCGUAACAGGUACUGGAGGCCCGAACCCACGUCUGUUGCAAAAGACGGGGAUGAGCUGUGAUUAGGAGUGAAAAGCUAAUCGAACCCGGAGAUAGCUGGUUCUCCUCGAAAGCUAUUUAGGUAGCGCCUCAUAUGUAUCCUCUCGGGGGUAGAGCACUGUUAUGGCUAGGGGGUCAUCGCGACUUACCAAACCAUUGCAAACUCCGAAUACCGAGACGGACUGUAUGGGAGACACACGGCGGGUGCUAACGUCCGUCGUGAAAAGGGAAACAACCCAGACCCACAGCUAAGGUCCCAAAUUCACUGCUAAGUGGAAAACGAUGUGGAAAGGCAUAGACAGCCAGGAGGUUGGCUUAGAAGCAGCCACCCUUUAAAGAAAGCGUAAUAGCUCACUGGUCGAGUCGGUCUGCGCGGAAGAUUUAACGGGGCUAAGCAGUGAACCGAAGCUUGGGGUGCAUAAAACUUGUUUUAUGCGCGGUAGAGGAGCGUUCCGUAAGCCUGCGAAGGUGGAUUGAGAAGUCUGCUGGAGGUAUCGGAAGUGCGAAUGCUGACAUGAGUAACGAUAAUGCGGGUGAAAAGCCCGCACGCCGAAAGCCCAAGGUUUCCUUGCGCAACGUUAAUCGACGCAGGGUUAGUCGGUCCCUAAGGCGAGGGCGAAAGCCGUAGUCGAUGGGAAGCAGGUUAAUAUUCCUGCACCUCGCGUGAGUGCGAUGGAGGGACGGAGAAGGUUAGGUGUACCGGGCGUUGGUUGUCCCGGGGAAAGGCGGUAGGUUUGGAUCUUUGGCAAAUCCGGGAUCCUUUAAGACCGAGCACCGAGACGAGCCUUUAUGGCGAAGUCACUGAUACCACGCUUCCAGGAAAAGCUCCUAAGCUUCAGCUCACGAAGACCGUACCGUAAACCGACACAGGUGGGUAGGAUGAGAAUUCUCAGGCGCUUGAGAGAACUCGGGUGAAGGAACUAGGCAACAUGGCACCGUAACUUCGGGAGAAGGUGCACCCUUUUUGGUGGCUCGUGCGAGCUAUAGCUGAAGAGGGUCGCAGAAACCAGGCCGCUGCGACUGUUUAUCAAAAACACAGCACUCUGCAAACACGAAAGUGGACGUAUAGGGUGUGACGCCUGCCCGGUGCUGGAAGGUUAAUUGAUGGGGUCAGCCGCAAGGCGAAGCUCUUGAUCGAAGCCCCAGUAAACGGCGGCCGUAACUAUAACGGUCCUAAGGUAGCGAAAUUCCUUGUCGGGUAAGUUCCGACCUGCACGAAUGGCGUAACGACAGCGGCGCUGUCUCCACCCGAGACUCAGUGAAAUUGAAAUCGCUGUGAAGAUGCAGCGUUCCCGUGGCAAGACGGAAAGACCCCGUGAACCUUUACUAUAGCUUUACACUGAACGUUGAGUUCGUCUGUGUAGGAUAGGUGGGAGGCUAUGAAACUGUGGCGCUAGCUGCAGUGGAGCCAUCCUUGAAAUACCACCCUGUCGUGCUUGACGUUCUAACCUAGGUCCGUUAUCCGGAUCAGGGACCGUGUAUGGUGGGUAGUUUGACUGGGGCGGUCUCCUCCUAAAGAGUAACGGAGGAGCACGAAGGUACGCUCAGCGCGGUCGGACAUCGCGCACUGUGUGCAAAGGCAUAAGCGUGCUUGACUGCAAGAUCGACGGAUCAAGCAGGUACGAAAGUAGGUCUUAGUGAUCCGGUGGUUCUGUAUGGAAGGGCCAUCGCUCAACGGAUAAAAGGUACUCCGGGGAUAACAGGCUGAUACCGCCCAAGAGUUCAUAUCGACGGCGGUGUUUGGCACCUCGAUGUCGGCUCAUCACAUCCUGGGGCUGUAGUCGGUCCCAAGGGUAUGGCUGUUCGCCAUUUAAAGUGGUACGCGAGCUGGGUUCAGAACGUCGUGAGACAGUUCGGUCCCUAUCUGCCAUGGGCGUUGGAAGUUUGAGAGGGGCUGCUCCUAGUACGAGAGGACCGGAGUGGACGAACCUCUGGUGUUCCGGUUGUCACGCCAGUGGCAUUGCCGGGUAGCUAUGUUCGGAAGCGAUAACCGCUGAAAGCAUCUAAGCGGGAAGCGCGCCUCAAGAUGAGACUUCCCGGGGCACAAGCCCCCUAAAGGAACCAUGUAGACUACGUGGUUGAUAGGUCAGGUGUGUAAGUACAGCAAUGUAUUGAGCUAACUGAUACUAAUGAUCCGUGCGGCUUGACC